This 201-nucleotide long non-coding RNA is filed under the name Solanum tuberosum (potato). RNAcentral describes it as "long non-coding RNA (STUB_LNC010052)". The record is from RNAcentral. Lineage: Eukaryota; Viridiplantae; Streptophyta; Magnoliopsida; Solanales; Solanaceae.
UCUCAUUCACUUACCCCUCAUGGACAUAACUCACCACCACUACCAAAAAAGGAUAGUGACUCAUCCAACAAUAAUAAUCAUAAACCUCUUUUUAUAGGAAUUGGUGUUGCUGUUGGAUUAUUUUUACUUCUUAUGCUAGUUUUCCUCAUAUCUUUGUGUAAAAAGAAAAGAAGAAGAAGAAGACCACAUGAUCAAAUGGGC